Cebus imitator (Panamanian white-faced capuchin) is the source of this 719-nucleotide long non-coding RNA. RefSeq lists it as uncharacterized. The record is from RefSeq and is a predicted model, not a curated record. Lineage: Eukaryota; Metazoa; Chordata; Mammalia; Primates; Cebidae. The transcript is spliced from 4 exons.
ACGUGAACAGGGCGGCUUCCCACGCGCUCUGGAGCUAGGAGGACCCCGGCGGCUUGCUGGUCUGCCAUCCUGGAGCGCCACCGAAUAGGUGCUACGAGCGCGCGCGGGCCCCCGAGAGCGGCUGGAAGCCGUGGACCGUUGGUAGAGUGAGAGGCCGCUUCUGGCCAUGUCUGCAGCAGCUCGUGGCCAGCAAUUCCCCUGAGCUGGUUGUGCACUGCUUGACCUCCGCUUUCUGACUCCUGCCAGAUUCGGGGGUCACAGUCGCAAAGCUGUGUGCCCUCCGCCAUGUGGGCCCACCACAGAGCAGCCCUGGCGGCCGGAGCUCCAAAGCUAGAAGCCUUGUCAGAUGAGGCAGUGGCCACAGUGCCCAGCCUUCUGGCCCCACAGUACACCCUCAGGCGCGCAACCUGCUGUCCCUGAGCUGGGUUCGAGCUCUGAACCAAGCCAGUGCCUCAGGACUGUGGACUCCUCAACUAGUGGAGACAGCGCUGUGGACCUGGGCCGUGGGGCAGAGGCUGUCCCCACACCUGUUGCCCAAACUUGGCCCCAGCCUGGCCACCCACAAGGAUGCUAGGCCAGCCAAGAAGCGCAGGACCCAGGCUGAGUGGACUCAGCUAUGGCCCUGGCUCACUCACCCGCCACACAACCUCAGGCCUCGGGUGUCACUGGAUGCCAGAGAGGCCGCCACCAUGGGAGCUCAAUAAACACUCACCAAACUC